This is a long non-coding RNA of Macaca mulatta (Rhesus monkey), 2367 nucleotides long. RefSeq lists it as uncharacterized. Lineage: Eukaryota; Metazoa; Chordata; Mammalia; Primates; Cercopithecidae. The record is from RefSeq and is a predicted model, not a curated record.
UGAAUACUUUCCUACUGUUUGCAAGACAAAUAAACCUCUUAUUUGUUUAAGCAGUGUCAAAGUUUCUGUUACUCUCAGUUAAAUCAAUCCCAACUAGAGAGUGCAGAUUGAGAAACAUCAAAAUUUUCCAAAAUUCUAUGGGUUUUAUUCAUAUCAAGUUGUCUUCUUUAUUUUCAGAUGAAGGAGAGCUUUAGAAAGAUGUGUUUGUUGUUUGCAUGCUUCAUUGCAACAGCCCUGCCACACUAGGAGGAAGACAGGUUUGGGUCCUGUCUUGGUGAUAAAGGUAAAACUAAAGGACAAUCAGACCUCAUCAAACUUCUCUUCUGAGGAGCUGAUGACCUUUCAGAAACAGUGACAAAGUUCAGAAUCCCAUUCUUCCAUCCUUGAUGGGUAACAUCAACUUUCCUGAUGAUUUUUGUUGGCUGCUGUGGCAAAUAUCACACACUUAGUGGCUUCAAAUAACACAGAUGUAUCAUCUGACAGGCUGGAGAUGGUAAGUCCAGCAUAGGUCUCAUUGAGCUUAAAUCUACGUGUUCAAGGGGCUGGGUUCCUUCCUAGAGACUCUUGCGGAGAAUCUGUUUACUUGCUCAUUUAGGUUGCUGGCAGAAUUUAGUUACUUGAGGUUGUAGAACUGAGAUCCUCAUUUCCCCAUUCCUAAGUUCCAAAGGCCAUCCACAUUCUUUGGCUCAGGGCCUCUCCUUCAUCUUCAAAGCCAGCAAUGGCAGGUCCAACUCUUGUCAGGCUUUGCAUCUUUCUCCCUCUUCCUGACUUCAGCCAGAAAAGAUAACCUGCUGUGAAAGAUUCAGGUGAUUAGAUUGUCUGCAUUUAGAUAAAUUCAGGAUAAUCUCCCCAUCUCAAGAUCCUUAACUUAAUCACAUCUGCAAAGUUCCUUUUGUUACAAAAGGCAAUAUACUCACAGUUUCUGGGGAUUAAGAUGUGGAUAUCUUUGGGGGCCAUUAUUCUGUCUAUCACACUCAAAGUUCCCCAUCUGAUUUCUAAAAUCUUUUUGCUCUAUUACUAGUGUAUACUACUGUUUCUGGAUUUUCUUGUUUAGGUUAGACCUUAGCAUUAGGGCAUUAACUGUUGACUUACUUUCAUAAAUAUAAUGCUGUAAUUCUUUUAUAUACCCACACACUCACACACAUACAUAUUGUUUCUUUCCUCAUUCUCCCAAACGUGUUAUAUCCCAAUUUUUGGAGGUAUUCAAAUUAUUAUAAGCCAGUAAAUAUUUUUAUAACUAAAACAUAUAUUGUGCUAUGAUUAUUUUUUCCUGUAUAACUUUUCUUGUACAACUGCAGUCUCAUUAUUCGUCACAUUUUUUUCAUUCACUUAAUUUUCUAUGUGUUGGUCAUCUUUGAAGUUUUCCUCAGAAUUGGAAAUUAUUUCUCAAUACACUGGAACACAACAGAUAAUCUAUCCACUUUUCUUUCUUCUUGAAACAUCCCUACUUGCCCUCAUGCUUUUUCCCUUGAACUUGGAUGGAUUGCUCUCUAGUCUACUAUAGCUGCUAACCUUAAGAUAUCCUUAAGCUACGUUUAAUGUCACUCCCAGUGAUACUACUGAGUUAUCUUAUUAUCACUCCCAGGAUUCCCUUCAUAUUUCUUCUCUGUUGGGGAUCACCUGUCUCUGGGUUUACUCCCUCUUUUUGUUGGAGGACAUCCUCCAAUAGCUCCCUGAGAAAAAGUACAUGAUUGUUUUUUCUUUUUUAGUUUGAAUGCCUUAAAAUCUCUUUAUUCCACUCAUUUGUAUGUCUAUUUGUUUACUGGUUAGGUUCUGUGUAGUAUUCUGGGUUGGAAAUCUGUCUCCCUCUGUCUCCAAAACAAAGCUGAGAUUUGUGGGGGUAUGGUGUGGCCAGUGGCCUACAUGGCAUCUUAUAGCAAUGGAAUGACAGAGAAGGAUACUUGUGAAGAGAGAAUUAACCAGAAUGAUGUCUCCCCAAGCACAUUCUCAGGAAGAUCACUUUUAGAAGAGAACAGACAUGGUACUUGAGGAUCUGGGAACUAAUUCUUUUAAACUAUCCAUACCUGCUUACUGAAGAGAAGUUUACAUGUACUUAACCUCUAGACUUUCAUGUACUUACCCCAGUUUGCAUACUGCUAUUCUAAAAUAUCAGAUCUUCCUGGAAAUGUGGGAACCAACAGGUAGAGAGACAUAAAUACCAGGCUGCCUCUCUUCUUUACUUAUCUCCCAAAACCAGAGACAAAGAGCUUUAGCUAUUUCUUUCUUCUGUUUCACAUCCUUUUUCCACCCUAUAGAACACCAGUAAAAGUGGUUUGGUGGCCUCUUUGUGAUUUUAAUGUUCAGUAACCUAAAUUUCUCUAGAUUAUAGAAUCCGGAAUACUCAAAUAUGGCCAUCAGUGAUGACAA